Molecule: ribosomal RNA, 253 nt
Filed under: uncultured bacterium
Lineage: Bacteria
Description: partial 16S ribosomal RNA
Rfam family: Bacterial small subunit ribosomal RNA
Source: RNAcentral
UACGUAGGGGGCUAGCGUUGUCCGGAAUCAUUGGGCGUAAAGAGCGCGUAGGCGGCCAGAUAAGUCCGGUGUGAAAGUCAAAGGCUCAACCUUUGAAUGCCGCUGGAAACUGUCUGGCUAGAGUCCGGGAGGGGCGAGUGGAAUUCCUGGUGUAGCGGUGAAAUGCGCAGAUAUCAGGAAGAACACCCGUGGCGAAAGCGGCUCUCUGGAACGGUACUGACGCUGAGACGCGAAAGCGUGGGGAGCGAACAGG